GACAGAGGGGGCAAGCGUUGCUCGGAAUUACUGGGCGUAAAGGGCGCGUAGGCGGGAUGGCAAGUCGGUCGUGAAAGCCUUCGGCUCAACCGAAGAACGUCGGCCGAUACUGCCGUUCUUGAGGGAUGCAGAGGAGACUGGAAUUCCCGGUGUAGCGGUGAAAUGUGUAGAGAUCGGGAGGAACACCGGUGGCGAAGGCGGGUCUCUGGGCCGAUACUGACGCUGAGGAGCGAAAGCGUGGGGAGCAAACAGG
This 253-nucleotide ribosomal RNA is filed under the name uncultured bacterium. RNAcentral's name for it is "partial 16S ribosomal RNA". It matches the Rfam family "Bacterial small subunit ribosomal RNA", at positions 524 to 776 of the family's 1533-position model. The record is from RNAcentral.